CUUGUCACAAACUUGACCCAUAUCUUAAACGUGCAUAAUUUUUAAUCCAAUUCCAUUUAUGAGAUCACUUAUUUUUGUCCAAACCUCUUAUAUUUCUAGUAGACUUUCAGACUUGAAUGAAUAGUUUAGCCCUUGAAUAAGAUGCACGGUGGUAUCUUAUAUAAACAUUAUAGAUUUCUUCAAUAAUUUAAUUAAAUUGGUACUCGUGAAAGCAAAAACAAGAAUGUAAAUAUACGAGAAAUAUAAUGAUGCGAGGGACACCCAAAUCCUACUCGUCACAUAUAAAUAAUGAAAAUAUGAAUUAAGGAUUUACAAAAUGGUACACGUUAAUAAAUAGGAAUUACAAUAUAACGAGACAAGAUAAAAGAUUGUUUGGUCCAACUUUGUUUCAUUUCUUGCAUAUAUAUAAUAUAAAUAUAUAAUAUAUUAAUGUGUAUGAUUUUAGAAUAUAUAAUUUAUAUAUAGAUAAAAAAAACAGUUAUUUUGAAAUUCCAUUAAAGCCCAAAAAAACCCUAUACAACUAUCCAUCUCCACUGUACACAAUAAGAAAGUUUAAAGUGAGGGAUAACAUCCCAGUUGAGAUAAAAGCAGAUGGGAUACAUUGAUAUAGACAGGUUCUGUUGAGAUAUACACCUUGCAACUAUACCAUUACAAGUAAAUUUUAACAUUGCUUCAAGUAUACCAUAUUCCAUCUUCUUUAUUGAAGCAAGCUGUUCUGAACAAGACAUCAACUAUUAUUGGUGGCAUAAAAUACCACCGACCACCAACAAAACUAUGUCCUGCCUUGUAUUUCCACUUGAAAACUUCAUGUUUCUUUCUUCACCAAUAAAUGAAGCUCAAUGCUUCCUGCUCUAAAAAUAGAGGGAUUUUGUCGAUUGAGUCUCAGUUUAAUUAACAUGAGCAUUGUUAUCAAUGUAGGAGGACAUGAGUUUGAGUGAUUUGAAGCGCGUUAUCUUCUUAUUUAUGGGUUAGAGAGGAGCUAUCGGUAGUUCUAGAUAUUGUGUAAAAAAUAACAGAUAUGAUCAGAACCUAUAAUGAGAUUAUUCAAAAAAUAAUAAUAGAAAGAUUUCAUAAACUUGGUUGAGUUGGAUGUAUGGUUAUUUUGAUUUGAAAAUUUUGAUUAAGGCUAUAUAUAUUUGUAAAUGAUUAAUCCUAAGUUUAUUUAGGGUUUCUCAUAUUUUUAUUUUUAUUCUUUUAAAAUAUAAUUAUUUUUAAUUAAUAUAUAGUAAUUAUUUACUUUUUACUACCAUUAUAUAUAUUGUAUUUUAUUAAAAUUUUUAACAUAAAUUACUUAACAUAUUUUUAAAUAUUUUUAUUUAAUCUCAUAUGAUAUAAAUUCCGUAAUAUAUAAAGGAAAAACAUAUUCUAAAUUUGAAAAUGGGUAGCUUGGGUUUUGAAUAUUGAAACCCGAUCCCGGCUCGUAUUAUAAACAAACCUAAUUUUUUUACACAAACUCUCUCAAAAUUUCAAGGUUCGAGUUGGGUGGAUAGUUCAAUACUUGAACAUAUCUACUACAAAAUGUGGGUCAUGGUUCUUUUAAAUUAGGUUAAAUUUUGCUACUGAUCUUUAUGUUAUGUGUAAGUUGUAGAUUUAGUCUUUGCACUUUAAUUUUGUUAUUUUUCUAGUCCUUACCAGCCUAACCAAAUAGUAGUUGUUAGAUUUUUUUAAGUGUAAAAAUAUUAUCACAUGUGAAAUGUCAUAACAGUUUUUUGUUUUUACAUAUUACUCACAAAAAAUCAACUAAUAAAUUUAAUAAUUAUUAUUUGUGUCAAAAUUAAAAUUUUAAAAUUUAAAAAGAAUUGCCAUUGUUUAAUUCAGAACAAAUUUUAAAAUUAAAAAAAAAAAACUAAAAUUCAUUUAGGUUCGGUUAACUCAUUUUGGCGACAAAUUCAUUUCAGUUUAUUUAAUUCUAGUGACUUAUUUGGUUUAGUAGAUUAUUCAUUAUAUAAAAAUCAAAUCGAUUAAACUAAUCAGAUAUACAUCUUUAAUGGUCAUUGAGAUGUUAACUAACGACGUUCACCAUUACUCCGACAUAAUUAAAAUACAUUAAAUAUAUUUCAUAUAUAAAAUGAGCUUUAUUUUUAUUAUCCAUAUCAAAGUUCUUUUUAUUAAAUUAUUUUAAGUAAUACUUUUUUUAUUGGUAAUAUUUUUAGAAUUAGACCAAUAGUUAGAUCUGUUCGAUCACUAAUUUACUGGUUUGAUUAAUUUAAUAAAUAAAUUCAUAAAAAAUUAAAAAUAAAAUACUUCUUUUAAUCAAUUUUUUAGUCGAUCAAUCAAUUCAUAAUUCAACUGGUCGACUAUCAUUCUCUAAAUUAAUACUUUGAUUGAUUCUCAAUUUAACCAAUAUAUAUAUAUUAAUUUGAAACUGUUGGUGUUGGAUAGUAAAGUAGCAUUGGCUAUAGCAAUGGUGUCAAAAGGGGGCACUUAGGAUUCGAGGGUGUCGAACCAUAACUGUGACUGGUCAGAAAUUGCCUGUGACCCUUUCCAUGACUCAAUGAGGUCAUUCCAUCAAUUCAAACCUCGAAAUCAUUAUAGUUAUCUGAGGCUAUCUAUAUCUGAAUUUCUAUUGGUUCAAAACAUUAUGGAACUUUGAUUUCUAACGUCUACUUGGCACAUGCAACACCACGUAUCAGUGUUGGAUAAUUUUGGGGGUUGAACGGUGAAUUUUGUAUUCAAAAAAAAAUCUCCAGUGCUGUUUGUUGAACCAAUGAGAUUGUGCCACUCGUGAAUCACAUCGGAUAACCCCUAUCAUAUCUACUUGGAACAGUCGCAACUACCUGUUUCAAAUUCAGGACCACUUUGGCUUUGCGUUUCAUUGCAUGGGUCUGAAAUUCUUGUUACGAGAAAAAGCUGUGUAAUAAAUAAUGUUAAUGUUUAUGGAAAGGAUUAUGUUUAUGUUUCAUCUUGUUUCUUGAUGAAGCCUAAUGAAUCAUAUAGUUUUCGACACUGAUAAUUAGACUACUCGUGGGUAUUUUUAGAAACUAUUAAGUCAAUUACAUAAUUAAAUUUUUGGGUUUUUAAAAAUAAAUUUCAAGUUUUCUUUAUAAGGGUUAAAAGGACGAGACUUGGUAUAAACUAGACCAACACCACUGACUAGUUGACAUCAAUUUAAAGUAUUUUGAUAGUGCCGCAAAACAAAUUAAGCCAGAUUUUUAUUCGUAAGAUAUUUUACAUUUAUGUAUUAUCAACCACUCAAAUCCUGUAAUUUGUAUUUUUAUGCUGCCAUGAUUUCAGCAUCAAUAAACUUCACCAAAAGAAAGGAAAAUCUAUUUCAUAUGGCUCAAAGAAACUUCUUUCUAUGAAAACUCCAUCUAUUUUUCCAUGAAAAUGAAAAGGAAGGGAGAGAGAAAAUCAACAUCAAGGGAGUUGUUUAAUUUAUCAAGUAAUAUUUGUGUGUAUUAAUUAUAAUCACGAAAAUAUUGAUUGAAUCACAAGUGAAGAUUUUAUAUUUAAUUUAUAAUUGACAAAAUUUUAAACUUUAUUUUUGAAUUAUUUUUCAUACAAAACAAUCCAUUUAACUGUUGUAGCAUUGCUUCAUUGUUCUAAACAAAACAAACAAAAAGGUUUCGAAAUUUUUCAACAGUCGAAUUUCCGUCACUAUGGUGGCCAAGCCUAUGAUCCUUAAAAAAUAUUGGUAGCCUGUUAAGUGAAAUUUUGUGGAUUAAAGAUUGCCAAGUGGACAUGCAUGGCCAACAUCAAAAUCUUGGAAGCUCCAAUGAAAUGAAAGAUAGAGAUAUUACGUAGAUAAGGAACCUUACUCUCACCUUCCUAUAUAAUAAACGCAUCGGAUUGCCCCUUCAAUCACUCACCCAUCACCAACAAAAUCAACUGCUUCACAAUGGCCUCUACAACCAUGGCUCUUUCUUCCCCAUCAUUCGCCGGUAAGGCAGUGAAGUUCUCCCCUUCCACCCCUGAAAUCCAGGGAACUGGCCGUGUUUCCAUGAGGAAAACCACCAAGCCUGUUCCUUCUGGUAGCCCAUGGUACGGUCCUGACCGAGUUUUGUACUUGGGUCCACUUUCCGGUGAGCCACCAUCUUACUUGACCGGUGAGUUCCCUGGUGACUAUGGUUGGGACACUGCUGGACUCUCAGCUGAUCCCGAGACCUUUGCUAGGAACCGUGAGCUCGAAGUCAUUCACUGCAGAUGGGCCAUGUUGGGAGCUCUUGGGUGUGUUUUCCCUGAGCUGUUGGCUAGGAACGGUGUCAAGUUCGGUGAAGCUGUAUGGUUCAAGGCCGGGUCUCAAAUCUUCAGUGAGGGUGGACUUGACUACUUGGGUAACCCAAGCUUGAUCCAUGCUCAAAGCAUUUUGGCCAUCUGGGCUUGCCAAGUUAUCUUGAUGGGAGCCGUCGAGGGCUACCGUAUUGCCGGUGGACCACUCGGUGAAGUGACUGACCCAUUGUACCCAGGUGGCAGCUUUGACCCAUUGGGUCUUGCUGAUGACCCAGAGGCAUUCGCUGAGCUCAAGGUGAAAGAGAUCAAGAACGGUAGGUUGGCUAUGUUCUCAAUGUUCGGGUUCUUCGUUCAGGCCAUCGUGACCGGAAAGGGACCAUUGGAGAACUUGGCUGACCACCUUGCUGACCCAGUCAACAACAAUGCUUGGGCCUAUGCCACCAACUUUGUCCCCGGAAAGUGAACUUAGAGAGUGAGAAGGGAUUUGUCUUGUUUAUGUUUUUAUUUGUUGGUGUGAAUUUAAAUUUGUUGCACAAUCAAUGAAAGUAUAAUGUGAAUUUUGUGUGCUCAAUUUUUUUGACUGUUCCAAGUCCAUUUGUUUCAAAAAUGAAAAUGGUAAAAACAGGUGAAGCACAUGACGCUAUAGACAAAACGAAAAAUAAAACUGUAAAUUUCGACAAAUUAAGUAUAAAUAUAUUCCCGAAUAAACUUCUCAGCGUUCUAUUUAGUAUCUUG
RNAcentral lists this long non-coding RNA (4905 nucleotides) under Gossypium barbadense (sea-island cotton). RNAcentral describes it as "long non-coding RNA (GBAR_LNC008722)". Lineage: Eukaryota; Viridiplantae; Streptophyta; Magnoliopsida; Malvales; Malvaceae. The record is from RNAcentral.